This is a small nucleolar RNA of Peromyscus maniculatus bairdii (prairie deer mouse), 74 nucleotides long. The record is from Ensembl. NCBI's taxonomy places the organism in Eukaryota, Metazoa, Chordata, Mammalia, Rodentia, Cricetidae.
UGGAUCAGUGAUGACCACUGAUGUGAUAGAUGAUUCAUGAGUAAUGACUACAGUUCUUGGAGUCUGAGGUCCAC